CAGGCUUAACACAUGCAAGUCGAGGGGCAUCAGGAAGAAAGCUUGCUUUCUUUGCUGGCGACCGGCGCACGGGUGAGUAACACGUAUCCAACCUGCCCUUUACUCGGGGAUAGCCUUUCGAAAGAAAGAUUAAUACCCGAUAGCAUAAUGAUUCCGCAUGGUUUCAUUAUUAAAGGAUUCCGGUAAAGGAUGGGGAUGCGUUCCAUUAGGUUGUUGGUGAGGUAACGGCUCACCAAGCCUUCGAUGGAUAGGGGUUCUGAGAGGAAGGUCCCCCACAUUGGAACUGAGACACGGUCCAAACUCCUACGGGAGGCAGCAGUGAGGAAUAUUGGUCAAUGGGCGGUAGCCUGAACCAGCCAAGUAGCGUGAAGGAUGAAGGCUCUAUGGGUCGUAAACUUCUUUUAUAUAAGAAUAAAGUGCAGUAUGUAUACUGUUUUGUAUGUAUUAUAUGAAUAAGGAUCGGCUAACUCCGUGCCAGCAGCCGCGGUAAUACGGAGGAUCCGAGCGUUAUCCGGAUUUAUUGGGUUUAAAGGGAGCGUAGGUGGACUGGUAAGUCAGUUGUGAAAGUUUGCGGCUCAACCGUAAAAUUGCAGUUGAUACUGUCAGUCUUGAGUACAGUAGAGGUGGGCGGAAUUCGUGGUGUAGCGGUGAAAUGCUUAGAUAUCACGAAGAACUCCGAUUGCGAAGGCAGCUCACUGGACUGCAACUGACACUGAUGCUCGAAAGUGUGGGUAUCAAACAGGAUUAGAUACCCUGGUAGUCCACACAGUAAACGAUGAAUACUCGCUGUUUGCGAUAUACAGUAAGCGGCCAAGCGAAAGCAUUAAGUAUUCCACCUGGGGAGUACGCCGGCAACGGUGAAACUCAAAGGAAUUGACGGGGGCCCGCACAAGCGGAGGAACAUGUGGUUUAAUUCGAUGAUACGCGAGGAACCUUACCCGGGCUUAAAUUGCAGUGGAAUGAUGUGGAAACAUGUCAGUGAGCAAUCACCGCUGUGAAGGUGCUGCAUGGUUGUCGUCAGCUCGUGCCGUGAGGUGUCGGCUUAAGUGCCAUAACGAGCGCAACCCUUAUCUUUAGUUACUAACAGGUCAUGCUGAGGACUCUAGAGAGACUGCCGUCGUAAGAUGUGAGGAAGGUGGGGAUGACGUCAAAUCAGCACGGCCCUUACGUCCGGGGCUACACACGUGUUACAAUGGGGGGUACAGAAGGCAGCUAGCGGGUGACCGUAUGCUAAUCCCAAAAGCCUCUCUCAGUUCGGAUCGAAGUCUGCAACCCGACUUCGUGAAGCUGGAUUCGCUAGUAAUCGCGCAUCAGCCACGGCGCGGUGAAUACGUUCCCGGGCCUUGUACACACCGCCCGUCAAGCCAUGGGAGCCGGGGGUACCUGAAGUACGUAACCGCAAGGAUCGUCCUAGGGUAAAACUGGUGACUGG
RNAcentral lists this ribosomal RNA (1432 nucleotides) under uncultured organism. RNAcentral describes it as "16S ribosomal RNA". It matches the Rfam family "Bacterial small subunit ribosomal RNA". The record is from RNAcentral.